RNAcentral lists this ribosomal RNA (324 nucleotides) under uncultured Prevotella sp. RNAcentral describes it as "bacterial SSU rRNA". It matches the Rfam family "Bacterial small subunit ribosomal RNA", at positions 354 to 672 of the family's 1533-position model. The record is from RNAcentral. Lineage: Bacteria; Pseudomonadati; Bacteroidota; Bacteroidia; Bacteroidales; Prevotellaceae.
UGAGGGAAUAUUUGGGGUCAAUGGGCGAGAGCCUGAACCAGCCAAGUAGCGUGCAGGAUGACGGCCCUAUGGGUUGUAAACUGCUUUUAUAAGGGAAUAAAGUGGGUCACGUGUGACUUUUUGCAUGUACCUUAUGAAUAAGGACCGGCUAAUUCCGUGCCAGCAGCCGCGGUAAUACGGAAGGUCCGGGCGUUAUUCGGAUUUAUUGGGUUUAAAGGGAGCGUAGGCCGGAGAUUAAGCGUGUUGUGAAAUGUAGUGGCUCAACCUCUGCACUGCAGCGCGAACUGGUCUUCUUGAGUACGCACAACGUGGGCGGAAUUCGUG